CCCUUUCCUCUCUCACCGAUGCGUAGAGCCUAGCUAUCAUCAUCAUCCUUAGAACUCGACGAUGCAAAUACCACUUCUCCUACGCCACCUUAGCCUCGCUACCAUUGUCUCCCACUUGUAAAGAGGAUAAGAUCAAGGGCAGCAUUCUUAUCCCCUCUACGGCUCCCAUCGACAUGCAGCAACACCCACGAGGAGGACCAUUGCCACUGUCUUUGCUUGCCAUGGCCGC
Molecule: long non-coding RNA, 229 nt
Filed under: Sorghum bicolor (sorghum)
Lineage: Eukaryota; Viridiplantae; Streptophyta; Magnoliopsida; Poales; Poaceae
Description: long non-coding RNA (SBIC_LNC001548)
Source: RNAcentral